AGGAACAACAACCGUGGCAGCGGCCAGCUCUGGAGCCUUGGAUUCAGCUCCUGCAGUAAUUAUGGAGCUCUCAGUCUGCAGGGGCCUGGAUGCUCCAGGGGCGG
This 104-nucleotide microRNA precursor is filed under the name Canis lupus dingo (dingo). RNAcentral's name for it is "mir-8834 microRNA precursor family". It matches the Rfam family "mir-8834 microRNA precursor family". Lineage: Eukaryota; Metazoa; Chordata; Mammalia; Carnivora; Canidae. The record is from Rfam by way of RNAcentral.